CCAAAAUGAUAUAUAUUAACAUAAACAGUCUCCCCAGCACAAGGCGUACCGAAGAAGACUAAAAAAUUACAAAAGAGUCAAAGAAAUACAAUCGAAAUAAAAUCAUACAAGGCCCAAACACAUCAAUGGACUAGACCACCAGCUAUGGUAGUUUAAAGCUAACGUAAAGUUCGUCAUCUUCAACCACCUGAAAGAGAAAAGCUUGAUCUUAUCCAAUAAAAUAUGAGGUGUGCCCGUUGAGCCCUUGAACAACCGAUGAUUUCUCUCUGUCCAUAACACCCAAACACAAGCGAGCCAAACAAGCUGUAAAAAGGACCUUCUCGCCCAAGAUCCACCUAAUAAACCCGUAAACUGAACAAAAUGAUCACGCAAAGAAGUGGAAUCCACCAAGGAAGUGCCAAUCCAUGCGCGAACUAAAUCCCACAGCGAUCCAGCAAUACUACAAGAUAGAAAUAAAUGAUGAGCUGUCUCAGCCGCUCCACAUCCAAAAACACAAGUGGCAACCGUAGGAGACAAAACGCCACGAGUAACCAGGUUUGCUCUCGUAGGCAACCUGUCCCGCAAUAAACGCCACGCAAAGAUGGACACCUUCAAAGGAACCUGAGAGUGCCAUAUAAGAUUAUCCGCAUCAUCCAAGGUGACUGAAUCCUGAGACGUCAAAAGCUGAUAAACUCCCCCAACCGUAUAACCUGUGUCAGGGUCAAGUCUCCAUUGCCACCUAUCAGUAGCCUGAUCCUGCAAAGAAAUGUCAAGAA
RNAcentral lists this long non-coding RNA (755 nucleotides) under Trifolium pratense (red clover). Its description in RNAcentral is "long non-coding RNA (TPRA_LNC006808)". The record is from RNAcentral. Lineage: Eukaryota; Viridiplantae; Streptophyta; Magnoliopsida; Fabales; Fabaceae.